UAGUCCACGCCGUAAACGAUGACAACUAGCCGUUGGACUCCUUGAGGGUUUAGUGGCGCAGCUAACGCGAUAAGUUGUCCGCCUGGGGAGUACGGCCGCAAGGUUAAAACUCAAAUGAAUUGACGGGGGCCCGCACAAGCGGUGGAGCAUGUUGUUUAAUUCGAUGCAACGCGAAGAACCUUACCACCCCUUGACAUACUAGGAAUUUUCCAGAGAUGGAUUAGUGCCUUCGGGAACCUAGAUACAGGUGCUGCAUGGCUGUCGUCAGCUCGUGUCGUGAGAUGUUGGGUUAAGUCCCGUAACGAGCGCAACCCUUGCCCUUAUUUGCCAGCGGAUUAUGCCGGGAACUCUAAGGGGACUGACGGUGACAAACCGUAGGAAGGUGGGGACGACGUCAAGUCAUCAUGGCCCUUACGGGGUGGGCUACAAACGUGCUACAAUGGUAGUGACAGUGAGUUAAUCUCCAAAAACUAUCUCAGUUCGGAUUGGGGUCUGCAACUCGACUCCAUGAAGUCGGAAUCGCUAGU
This 527-nucleotide ribosomal RNA is filed under the name uncultured bacterium. RNAcentral's name for it is "bacterial SSU rRNA". It matches the Rfam family "Bacterial small subunit ribosomal RNA", at positions 791 to 1339 of the family's 1533-position model. The record is from RNAcentral.